RNAcentral lists this long non-coding RNA (555 nucleotides) under Homo sapiens (human). RNAcentral describes it as "HSALNT0298566". The record is from RNAcentral. Lineage: Eukaryota; Metazoa; Chordata; Mammalia; Primates; Hominidae.
CACCAUAGAGGUGGGCCUUUGGCGACGUCAGAGGCGCGGGUGUUCGGCUGCGUCACUGGGGCGCUAUGGUGCCUGGAGCUGGGCAGUUUUCUCGUCAGAGUGGGGACUGGUAAGAGCGACCUCCCCGCCAGGUCCUGUGUGUUGCCGGCUGAAGAAGGAUGAUGAUUAUUCCCCACCUUCUAAGAGACAAAGACCAACGAGCCACCACAGCCACCAGUCCCAGAACCCGCCAAUGCUGGGGAACGGAAAAUGAGGGAGUUCAACUCUGAGAAAUGGAAUCAUCGUAUCGCUGAUCUACGUAAACAAACUGAAGAAUUGUCUGAAAGAAAAUAUGACAUGAACUUAUGAAUUCAACAGGUGAAGAUUUACAACUUGAUAAAUCAACUUUGUGAGCUCGAGCUGUAAAAGCCAAAGGUCUGGUGAUGAUCCCAUACCCUUUUUUCCAGUCUCAUGUUGAAGAUUUUUAUGUAGAAGGCCUUCCCAAAGGAAUUUUUUUUUUUUUUUUUUUUUGAGAUGGAGUUUUCACUCUUAUCGCCCAGGCUGGGGUGCAAUGGC